RNAcentral lists this long non-coding RNA (1423 nucleotides) under Homo sapiens (human). RNAcentral's name for it is "non-protein coding lnc-NOS2-1:4". The record is from RNAcentral. Lineage: Eukaryota; Metazoa; Chordata; Mammalia; Primates; Hominidae.
AAGAAAUCCCUCUUCAUGCUGAAAGAGCUCACCAACAAAUUCAGGCAGCCUGUGAAACGUUUGAUGUCCGAAGCCAACAGCACAUUCAGAUCCCCAAGCUCUACACCUCCAAUGUGACCUGGGGCUUGCACCACUUCAGGCUCGUGCAGGACUCACAGCCUUUGGACCUCAGCUAAGGGACCUGCUUCUCUGUAGCACAUGGGGCUUGUUUGUGUUGGGGUCUGAGCCCUGAGCUCAUGGUCAAGGAGAACCCCAGGUCCUUCUGAACAGAGACAGCUGGCCUCGGGGCCUCCCUCUCACUGCAUGCAAGAGCCUGUUAGGGCACAAGACUCAAGGCGCUGAGGGAGGCUGUUUCAGGAGGGAGCCGCAGAAGGAUGGUGGAGAGAGAAGGGGACAGCAUCCGCCGAGGGCCUACUGUGUGCCAGGCACUGUCCAGGGCUCCUGGCCCACAUGGGCUAAGUGAAUCUGGACACUCCUCCUGGGAGAAAGGCACAGAUGGAGAAAUUGCAGUUCAGGGAGGUGAAGCAAGCUGCUAGCCUGUGGCCACUUUGGGAUCUGAGCGCCAGCCUUCUAGCCACAAAGGCAGCAAAGGGUCAUGAAGAAGGCAUCACAGAGGCGAUUCCAGGCUGUAGUGGUGAACUCUCCACUCUGCACCCCCAGGUGCUGUGCCCUGUGCCCUGAUUAGAUAGUCCUGAAGGUUUCUACAUGUUUAAGAUAUCCCCAAUGUCAACGAUGCUCUCCUGUGGAUCCCAAGCUGUGGAGAUGUCCUGGGACUUUCCAUUUUAGGUUCCUAAAUUGAAUUUCCCAACACCUAGAAGCAACCCAGCUGCCCUGUAUCAGACCAAGGACCUUUAUUUGUGAUUCAGAAACAGUGGAAUAAAAGGAAAGGAAAGAAAACCCCAACAGCCACCUCAGGAGGAUGCCCCAAGGCCCUCAGCAGCAUGCACGCCAAUAACAUGUUCACCACGAGGCUCAAAUCUCAGCAGAAGCUACAGAGUCCAACAUCCAGGCAGCUACUGGGUCAGUGACAAGAGGCUGCCCCCCUGCUCACUCAGCCAGGCCCUCACCUACUUCCUGGACAUCACCACACCCCCACCCAGCUGCUGCUCCAAAAGCUGGCCCAGGUGGCCACAGAAAAGCCUGAGAGACGAGGCUGGAGGCCCUGUGCCAGGUGAAGAUCAGGGCUGGUGGGCAGUGGGGGUAUGUGGGGGGUCCCAGCAUGUGGGGAGCCAGAGUCCAGAGCUGGUUUUAACUUUCAAGAGGGAUCCACACCAGGUUCCCAAAGUGAGACUUGUCAAAGGCUGGUGGGAAGCCAGGCAUCGUCCGCUGGCCCAUGUCUAGGACACAGUUGUGUUGAGUGAACUGAAUUUUUCCAAGUGUCUGCAGGAUGCAACCAGAGUGCACUGCCUUGAACAUUAGCUAG